This 75-nucleotide ribosomal RNA is filed under the name bacterium LRH843. RNAcentral's name for it is "partial 23S ribosomal RNA". The record is from RNAcentral.
GGUUGAUAGGUCUGGUGUGGAAGCGUGGCGACACGUGAAGCUGACAGAUACUAAUCGGUCGAGGACUUAUCCAAU